UGAAUCUGUUUACUUAGUACAUCCGUUUACACACCAGGGGGGUGGGAGACAGAGACACAGACAGAGAGGGAGAGAGAGAAGGGAAGAUAGGAAGAAGGAGGGAAGGAGGGAAGGAGGGAGUAGGGAGGAAGGGAGGAGCAAGCAAGCAAGCAAAGCAAAAGGAAUCCUUAUCCACCCGAAGUUUGCAUGUAGCCCACACUCUGCACUGUCUGGUGAACCAGCACACCAGGGGAGACAGUUCUGCUUUGCUCGCUGAGGUUUUUCUAAACUCUCAGGCAGCCUCGGUGCGCUGCUGAAGGGCUGGCUGCCUGCGGCUUUCUAAAGGCCAGGCAAACAGCAGGGCUCCAGGAACGUGGGACAGUGAAGUGGCAGAAAACGCGGACGGCCCCAGGCCACCCCAGACACUACUCAGGCCAGCCUGUGAGGCUGCGCGCUUGACGGCCGCUUUGCGACGGUCGUCGCGACUGCCGUAAAGCGAGGCCUCCGCUGCUGCUGUAGAGUGAGAUCACCGUAUCUUCCAUCGUCUGGCCUCCCAGCCUGCCCCCGUUCCCAUCUUCCAUUUCCUCCUUCAAAAAGGACUGGCAAGAGCUGGUAAAUGCUGUUCUGGAACCUGGGGCACAGCUGCAGUGGCGUAUGUGGUUCAAAGAGGAAGCUAAAAACAGAAAAUCAAUGGAGGGCUAAAGGUAUACAAAUCUCCCAGGAUCAGCUUGUUGGAGACGGCCAAUAUACUGCAAUGCAAACACAAUGUUAUAUGAUAUCCAAACCCUAAUUCUAUGUUGAAUGGCAGCCUUGAAAGCAUGGGACAGAGUUGAGGAACCAGAAAAGAAGAGUGAGUCAUUUACAAAGGUUAUACAGGGCCCAAAAGAAUCCUUCACGGAUUUCUUACAAAGACUGACUUCAGCAGUAAAUAGAAUGGUCCCAAAUUCAGAAGCUAGCAAGAUAAUAAUCGAAUCUUUGGCUUUUGAGAAUGCCAAUGCAGCAUGCAAGAAAAUAAUCAGGCCAUUAAAGGCAAGAUCUGUACCCUUGGAAGAUUGGAUUAGAGACACGUUUAAUGUUGAGGCUCAUGACCAUGAUGAUAUGUGGAUAGGAGAAGCAAUUUCAAGAGAUUUGAGGAAUGUCAGAUGUUUUGGAUGUGGAAAGCAAGGACAUUUGAAAAGGGACUGUAAACAGGGCAUUUCUAGAAACAAUGUUUAUUCAAGGAACAAUGGCAACAAAAUGCCCCUUCUGGAGUAUGCAAAAAGUGUGGUAAGGGAAAACAUUGGACCAACGAAUGUAGAUCAACAAGGGACAGACAAGGUAAUACUUUGCCUUGGUCUUUGGGAAACUCCCAGAGGGGCCUCAGGAAGGCCCCCACAGCAAAUCCAGUUCAGACCUUUCCUGCAGUCAUAGAGGAAACCUCUACUCAGAGCAAUUAAAUAACCAAAUGCCAAUUUGAAUAAACCAGGCUGCUUGGGGUGAUGAAACAGCUGAGACAGAGAGAAAAGAAAAUUCAGGAGAAAACAUAAAGAAAAUUUUUUUGGCAAACUUCUAUAAAUGAACAAAGACCAAAGUUAACAAUAAGAAUAAAUGAUGUUUUGUUGUCUGGUCUGGUAGACAUAGGUGCUGACGUGACCAUAAUUGCACCAGAAUUUUGGCAUCCAACUUGGCCUCUUCAGGAGGUAAACGUUCAGCUGUUAGGAAUUGGAACAUUAUCUUAAGUGAAACAGAGUGCAAGAUGGCUGGAAUGUAUAGGUCCAGAAGGGCAGAGAGGAAAAUUAAAACCAUAUGUGGCUAACAUAGCUAUGAACCUGUGGGGCCGAGACCUGUUGCAACAAUGGAAUACUCAGAUUAAUAUCCCUCAGACCUCAGAAACAAUCAUAAACUAGCACAUGUUUCUGAGAGAAAUAUUAGAAGUUAUUAUUCUAAUGAGUAGUCACCAGCCAUCCAUAUUAUACAAGAACAGGGCACAACAACUGAUGAUCUUCCAAAGACACCAACAGCUCUACCUUUAAAAUAAUUAACAGACAAGCUUGUAUGGGUUCAUCAAUGGCCUUUAACAACAGAGAAACUCCAGGCUUUAGAAGAUCUGGUAGAAGAAGAGUUAAAUGCUCAGCAUAUUGAAGAAUCAACCAGCCCUUGGAAUUCUCCUGUAUUUGUUAUUAAAAAGAAAUCUGGUAAAUGGAGAAUGGUAACAGACCUUAGAGCAAUUAACAAAGUAAUUCAGCCAAUGAGCUCUCUACAAUCUGGAAUUCCUUUGCCUACUCUGUUAUCAAAUGUUGGCCUCUUAUAGUUAUUGAUUUAAAAGACUGUUUCUUUUCAAUACCCUUACAAGAAAAAGACAGAGAAAGAUUUACCUUCAUGGUGCCUACUUAUAAUAAUUCUCAACUGGUUAAGAGAUAUCAAUGGAGGGUCCUCCCACAGGGAAUGUUGAAUAGCCCAACUGUGUGCCAAUAUUUUGUACAACAGCCAUUGGAAGUGAUACAUAAAAAAUUUCCUAAAUCUAUAAUUUAUCAUUAUAUGGAUGAUAUUUUACUAGCUGAUUCAAAUGCAGAUACUUUAGAAAGAAUGUUUGAAGAAGUAAAGAAAAUUUUGCCUUGCUAAGGAUUACAAAUUACUCCUGAAAAGAUACAAAGAGGAGAUUCUAUUAAUUAUUUAGGAUAUAAAAUAAAGCUACAAAAAAUUAGACCCCAAAAGGUGCAAAUUAGGAGAGAUCAACUACAGACUCUUAAUGACUUUCAAAGAUUAUUUGGAGACAUUUCUCAUCUACGAACUAUUGAUGGGGUAAAAAAUGAUGAACUGAAUAAUUUGUUCAAAACCUUAGAAGGUGAGAAGGACUUAAAUAGUCCAAGAGAAUUAUCACCUGAAGCUGAGAAAGAAUUGGCCUUGGUAGAAAAGAAAGUACAUGAAGUACACGUGGACCAUAUCGAUCCAAAGCUGGAUUGCAUUUUGGUUAUUUUACCCUCUAGGCAUUCUUCUACAGGAAUAUUAAUGCAGAGGGAAGAUAUAUUGGAAUGGAUAUUUUUACAAAAUAAACCGAAUAAAAAAUUAAAAACUUAUGUGGAAAAAAUCUCUGACAUGGUUUGGAAAGGAAAAUUGAGACUUCGUCAGUUAGCAGGAAUAGACCGAGCAUAAAUGGUCAUACCAUUAACUAAGAAGGACAUUGAAAAAUUAUGGUCAGAAAGUGAACCUUGGCAAAGAGCUUGCAGUAAUUUUUUGGGAGAAAUUAACAGCAAAUAUCCCAAAUGUGAUAGAAUUGAUCUUAUAAAGAGAGCUGAUUGGAUUUUGCCUCGAAUUGUACGGGAAAAACCCAUAUCUGGAGUUCAUACAUUUUAUACAGAUGCCAACAAACAAGGAAAGGCAGGUUACAAAUCAGAAAAUUUAAGUAAAGUGGUUCAAAGUCCUUUUAAUUCAGUUCAAAAAUUGGAAUUGUAUGCUAUUCUGUUGGUAUUAAUGGACUUUUCAGAACCUCUCAACAUAGUUACUGACUUUCAUUAUGCUGAAAGAGUGGUAUUACAUAUUGAGACUGCAGAAUUUAUCCCUGAUGCUUCAGAAUUAACUUCACUAUUUAUUCAGUUACAAGAUACAAUCAGGAAAAGGAGUCAUCCUUUAUAUAUAACUCACAUCUGAUCCCAUACGGGUCUGCCAGGGCCUCUAGCACAAGGUAAUGAUGAGAUUGAUAAACUAUUGAUAGGAAAUGUGCUGGAGGCCUCAGAAUUUCAUAAAAAAAAUGUCAAUAGUAAAGGUUUAAAAAAGAAUUUUUCCAUGACCUGACAGUAAGCCAAGGAAAUUGUAAGGAAAUGUCCUACUUGUUCCUUUUACAAUCAGACGUCAUUAUCAGCAGUAUGUAACCCAAAGAGUAUUCAGAGGAAUGAAAUCUGGCAGAUGGAUGUGUUUCACUUUGCAGAAUUUGGAAAAUUGAAAGAUGUACACCAUACCAUUGAUACUUAUUCAAGAUUUCACUGGGCAACUGCUUUGAGCUCUGAAAAAGCUGAUUCAGUAAUUACUCAUUUGCUGGAGGUUAUGGCCAUCAUGGGUAUACCUGCACAAAUUAAAACUGACAAUGCUCCACCAUAUGUCUCAGGUAAAAUGAAACAGUUUUUUGCUUAUUACAAUAUAAAACAUAUUACAGGUAUACCACAUAAUCCUACAGGCCAAGCAGUUAUAGGAAGAUCAAACAGAACUCUAAAGGAUAUGCUAAAUAAACAGAAAGGGGUAACAAAAGCCCCCAGAAAUAGACUGCAUAAUGCUCUAUUAAGUUUGAAUUUUCUCAGUGCUAAUGAGAAAGGAACAACAGUUGCAGAGAGACAUUGGAUAAUAGAAAAAAACUACAGAAUUAAAUCAGCCUAUAUACUUUAAGGAUGUGCUGACCUCAGAAUGGAAACCAGGAUAUGUGUUACAUUAGGGACAAGGUUUUGCUUUUGUUUCUACAGGAGAAGAUAAGCUGUGGAUACCAUCAAAAUUGAUAAAAGUUCGAAUUGAACAAGAGAGACCUCUUAAUUAGAAGAGGUGAUAGUUCAUCAACCAGUGUGACCAUUCAAUUUAAACUAACUUAUACCAUUAACACAUGCCUUUUCCUUUAAUCAGAUAUAACUUGCCAAAAGGGAACCUCCCCAAAAUUAGUCUUGGGGAAAGGUUUUUGUUUUUGUCUUUUAGGAGAAUGAAGGCUAAGGAAUCUGAAGAACACUGGACAAAUGAGACAUCUGAAGAAAAAGGACAAAUCACCUAGAAAAAAAUGUCCCAAGAAAAAGAGUAAAAUGGCCUAUUGGUAUAUCAUCUAUAAAAUUUCAUAAGUCUUCCUAAAUGUUUGUUUCUGCUCUUCUCUAAAGAAAUUUAACACUAUUGGUCUUCUUGUAGUCCCAGUUCAAUUAAAAUUUAAGCUGACUUUGGAGUUGGAGAAUGGCUCUCUCCUUCUUUAAACUCAAGCAUGUUGUUAAAAGGAAAAUGCAAAUUCCCUGUAUCAUGCCAGAAGAAAGAGCCAUCUUCUGAUAUGGGACAGAAGAAAAACCAAAUUAAUUAAGGAACUAUUCUAUAACUACUAAUCUCAAUUCUUUGAUUCUAUUCUGAUUCUUUAAACUUUUCUUAAAGUAUGAAUUUUAUAUCAAAAUUUACAAGAUUUAUAUAUAUAUAUAUAUAUAUACAUUUUAAACUUUGUUAAGAUAUUAUUGGUCAUAUAGAAUACUAACUAAUUCUAGAAAAAAGGCUUCAAUUAGCUGCCUAUACAUGUCUUUGUGUUCGAGUCUCUUAUCAGUUUUCUGCAGGAAAUCACAGCCAGGCCUAACAACCACUUAAGUCUCCAGGAAGAAGAUGGGGCCCCACAACAACAAUUCCACGUGGACAAUAAUAAUACCACUAAGCUGACAAACAUCAUCUACAGAUCAGCUUUGGACAACAAAUUGCUCAGAGCAAUUUUGAGAUGGCUAGCUGAGAUGAUCCAGUUUCAAAGACUACUUGAAUAUGGACUUGAGAUAAACCCUGAACUUUGGCAUUAUGCACAGACUGGAUAACAAAGGAUAUAGCUACCUUUCCUAGAAUUUGACAAUUAACCCAAAAUUUUUCUUUUCAAAAUAAAGAUACCUUUGCCCAUAUCCAGCAGGAAGCAAUUUUAAGAAUACAACACCCACAUUCCCAAAGAGGACUAUGAGACAUGUUGGCUCCUGGCAGUACCAAUCUACUUCAGAGAAAAUAUGGGCAUUGAAGAAACUGCAUAUGGAGUUAACUUUCAUUGUGGCAAAAGCUAGCCACUGAACAACAAAGUAUCCUCGAAUCAACUGCUGACAAACAGGUCAGACAGGACAUGAAACAAAGGACUACCGAUUCUUGCCAAAACAAGUGUGGUUGUGGCUUUAACAAAAGGCAUCUUCUGAGGCCAGGACAAUAUGGCACCAUCCCUGAAGUGGCCUUUGCAAUCCGGAAAAAGUACAGUGCCCUUUUCUUCGAAGGCAGCUGAACAGGCAGUGGGUCGAUGGCUUCUGAUGUGGAGUGAAACAGCAGCUGAAACAGUUACUCUUGAAGAGUAACUAAGCUCACACCUCUCAAUAGUAGACUGGCAUUUAAUAGAGGGAUAUGGAGAAGAACGGGAUGCUAAGAUGAAGCCACACACACACACAGCCAAGAAGAAUGGACACUGAAUUAAAAAAAAAUCAACAAUUUCCAGGAUUUAAAAUCCUGAAUAGUGACAUAACACUAGUGGAAUCCAUGUGUUUCUGGUACAUGGACUGCUCUCACCAAAUGUGAGGUCGAACUAUUAACCUUGUGUACAUCCUACUUCACAAAUGAAUCUGUCAGAUACGCUAAGCCUAUAGGCUGAAGAUGAUGCCCCAACACUGCAGAGAAACCUCAGGUGACUGUCCAGGCAGCUGGCAGUUUCUGUCAACUUACAUUUUUUUUUGGAAGCUGCUUGCAUGCACUUCCUGUUUUUAUUUUUUAUUAGGAAAGAGAAAGCAAUGCAAUAUGGUGGCACAGGGGAUAUGGAAAAUGUUUUAAAAAGAAAAAAGAGCAGAAAAAGUCACCUAAGAGAAGGAGAGGAUUAAUGCCAAGGAAAUGAAAUGUAGCACUGCUCAACAGAGUGAAGGCCUACCUUACAUCCUGGAGAUCCGGCGGUGACACCAGUUUACAGCUGUAGUUAGCUGUGUGCUUGCUUGUGCAGACAAGUGAGGAGUUGGAUUCCCUUGCUUGAUUUGCUUUGUUUUGUGAUGAAGGGUCUCACUAUAUAGUCCAGGUUGGCCUAGAACCCACUAAUGGUCUUCUGGACUUAGCCUCCCUAAUAAUGGAAUUAUAAGUUUGCUCCGCCGUGCCCAGCUGUGAAUAUGAACCGUUUUGUGGGAUUUUGUUUGUUUGUUUUGGCUUUGGUUUUUGGAGUUUUGGAGUUUGUGUGUGUGUGUGUGUGUGUGUGUGUGUGUGUGUGUGUGUGUGUUUUACUAAGCAAGUAAAAUAGUGGCAAAUUGUGAGUCUGUAGGAGGGUUUGCCAUUCAAAACAUGGUUUUUGUGACAGCAUUGCUCAUAUUGGUGUCACAGAGGAAGUAGACUGGGGAGUGACUGCUAAUAAGAAUGUAGUUUUGAAAUGGUGUAAAGUUCUAGGUAGAGGUGAUAGUAAUACUACUGUAACUGUAUGUUUACUGCUCUCGUUGGAGUCAUGAACCUAGAGAGCAGGGCUUAAGAAUGAGGUGGAGUAAAGUCUCAUUUGAUAGCCAACUUUAUUCAGAGCAUCGGAUUAUAUAUACACUGAGGGUUAAGUGCUGCAAGCCACAGGAAAAUGUAAUGGAAUUCAGCUAUCACAAAAGCUACUACUUGGAAAGGUCAAGGAAUUUUCCUAAGGUCAAGCCAUGGCUUAAGAAGUCUUGGUGAUAUUUUAGCUGUUGUAUGUAUAUAUUAGCUGAUUCCUGCAACGAUUUCCUUGUAUGCUAUGUAUGCUUCCAAGAACUCAUAAUGGUGCAUUUUAUUGGAAAUACCUACCAAGCAUCCAAGGCCAAAUGAUCUUCUGAAUUAAGGAUGGCUGGUUUCAGAUAGCUGAGAAUAUGGGAUUUCAGUGCUUAAAGACUGAAAGCAAAGAUCCUCGGCUAGAUGGGAUGGACUCACUUUCUGGAACUGAAAUCCCUCUGC
Peromyscus californicus insignis is the source of this 7578-nucleotide RNA transcript. It is a transcript of the gene named zinc finger protein 431-like, with no coding region annotated. The transcript has 6 exons. The record is from RefSeq and is a predicted model, not a curated record. Lineage: Eukaryota; Metazoa; Chordata; Mammalia; Rodentia; Cricetidae.